CAGUGACUGAGUCAAGUAAAAGAUAAAAGGUUAAAAGAAUUACUUGGGUCGCUGAGAGAUUUACUCCCUGUUCAACGGUAUUCAUCCGAUCAGGUCCAUUGAUUAACGUUAGGUAGGUAGCAAAGUCCUUUUCGUCUAUUAUAUGUUCCUGGGGGACGGUAUGCUCUUUAACUCUUUCUCUCUUUCCCUAUCUCUGUCAGUCUAUAUAUCUGUCUCUCUCUCUGUCUCUCUCUGUGUCUUUGUCUCUCCCUGUUACAUCUCGAUUCUUCUUCGUUUUACAUUUUAAACUGAUAUCAUUUAUAAAACCGUAGCCCUCUUUCUUUUCGCUAGGGACAUUGGUUUGGUGUCACUUUGGAUGUCAUUUCGUGAUUUGUCUCGAUCACUUUAUCACCCCGCCACCACCACCACAUCACUUAUAUAUGUGGGUGUGUGUGUUUGUGUGUUGACAACAGGUGUUGGUGUUUGCGUCCUCGUAACUUAGCGGUUCGGCAAAGGAGUCCGAUAGAAUAAGCAGCAGGCUUUUAGAAAAAAGUACUGGGGUCCAUUCUUUCGACUAAAAAUUUUUUCAAGGUGGUGCUCCAGCAUGGUUGCAGUCUAAUGGCUGAAACAAGUAAAAGAUAAAAGAUACUACCACUACCACCACCACCACCACCACCACCACCACCGUCACCAUCACCACCACCACCGUCACCACCGUCACCACCACCACCACCACCACCACCACCACCACCACCACUACUACUACUACUACAGCACCGCCACCACUAACCCCCACCCCCAUCAAGUUAUCACUUGGGUCAUUUCACUGACUCACCAUCAUUCAAGUGAACCCAGUCAGUCACCUCCAGUCUGGCUAAAUCUGAAGAAGUGCAGACACAUAGACAGACAAACUGACAGACAGACAGACAGACAGUCGACUUCGGAAGAAUUUCAUUGAGAAAGAAUGUCUCAGGCAAACAUGGCUUCUCUUCCCCCUCUCUCACUCUCUCUAUUACCACUUCGCACCCAUCACCAUCUUCUAUCUCUCUCUUAUCUUCUCUACCCUGUCUCUCUCUCUCUGUCUCUCACUCUCUUAUCUUCUCUACCUGUCUCUCUCUCUGUCUCUCUGUUUCUCACUCUCUUAUCUUCUCUACCUCUCUCUCUCUGUCUCUCUGUCUCUCACUCUCUUAUCUUCUCCGUCUGUCUGUCGGUCGGUCGGUCUGUCUCUCUGUCUGUCUGUCUUUAUGUCUCUCUGUUUCUCUCUCAUUUUCUUAUCUUCUCUGUCUGACUGUGUGUGUGUGUGUGCGUCUAUCUGUCUGUCGUCUCUCUCUCUCUCUCUCUCUCUCUCUCUCUCUCUCUCUCUCUCUCUCUCUCUUCUCUGUCUGACUGUGUGUGCGUGUGUGUGUGUCUAUCUGUCUGUCGUCUCUCUCUCUCUCUCAUUUUCGAUUACCGCCGGAAUGCCAUCGCAUAGUUUUCAUUUGUUCGUUAAAUCGUGUUGUAGAAUUAUGCAUGCAGAAUUGGUAGAGCGUCGCCAAAAAUGCUUAAUGGUAUUUCGUCUGCGGUUACGUUCUGAGUUCAAAUUCCGCCGAGGUCGACUUUGCCUUUCAUCCUUUCGGGGUCGAUUAAAUAAGUACCAGUUACGCAUGACUGUGUGGUAAGAAGCUUGCUUCUCAAUCAUAUGGUUCAGGGUUCCUUCCUACUAUGUGGCACCUCAGGCAAGUUCCUUCUACUAUAACCUCGAGCUGAUCAAAGCCUUGUGAGUGGAUUUGGUAGCCGGAAAAAAAAGCUCCUCGUAAGAGUGUGUGUUUGUUCCAGCUAAACGUUCUCAGUUCAAAUCCCGCCAAGAUCGACUUUCCCUUUCAUCUGUUCGGGACCAAUACAAUAAAGUGUCAGGCAUGACUGUGUGGUAAGAAGCUUGCAUGGCCACAUUCUAAUGGUUGAAACAAGUAAAAUAUAAUAUAUAUAUAUAUAUAUAUAUAUAUAUAUAUAUAUAUUUUUUUUUUUUACUUGUUUCAGUCAUUUGACUGCGGCCAUGCUGGAGCACCGCCUUUUGGUCGAGCAAAUCGACCCCGGGACUUAUUCUUUGUAAGCCCAGUACUUAUUCUAUCGGUCUCUCCCGCCGAACCGCUAAGUGACGGGGACGUAAACACACCAGCAUCGGUUGUCAAACAAUGCUAGGGGGACAAACACAGACACACAAACACACACACAUAUAUAUAUACAUAUAUACGACGGGCUUCUUUCAGUUUCCGUCUACCAAAUCCACUCACAAGGCAUUGGUCGGCCCGAGGCUAUAGCAGAAGACAUUUGCCCAAGAUGCCACGCAGUGGGAUUGAACCCGGAACCAUGUAGUUGGUUAGCAAGCUACUUACCACACAGCCACUCAUAUAUAUAUAAUUUGAAACUGACUUAUUGGAAGUCCACCUGAAGAUUGUCGAUCAAGACAAGAAACAAUUGUAGUGGCGGUUUUUUUGACUAUUUAUUAAAAUUUUAUGUAUUGAUUAAGUCUUUCCUUGUUUGUUUUGCAAAAUAGUGGUUUUGUCUCUAAUAAUAUUUUAUAAUAUUUUACUAUAAAAUUGGAUUUAAUCCUAAAUCUGAUUUUUUUCCCUGUAAAUUUGGAUUUAUUCCCUAAUAUUUAUUAUUAUAUAUAUAUAUAUAUAUAUAUAUAUAUAUAUAUACAUAGUUAAAUGUUAUAGAAAAAGACGAUGACAUGUGUAUAAACAACAAAUAGGUGUAUUAGUUUAACGCUCUGGAAGGUGAGAAAAUCUUUUACGUUUCGAGCCUACGCUCUUCAACAGAAAAGAACACGAUGAAAUAAACGGAGUGAGAAUAUAUAUAUAUAUAUAUAUAUAUAUAUAUAUAUAUAUAUAUGCAUAGCUACAGGUUUCUGCCACCCCAGCACUCGAUUUUGGAUGGUCAUAACUUUCAGAAAAAUGGAUAUUCUGUAAUGAAAUUUUCUACGAAUAUGUGUUAUAUCAUGCAGAUUCCGAAUAUACAAACUUUUGCGGAGAAAGUAUUUUAGGAGGGAGUGGGUGGAGAAUUUCGGAAAAUUCACCGAUGUCUAUUUCAAUUCGUCUUAACUUUCAAGAAAAUGGACAUUUUUCAAUGAAAUUCUCUACAAAUAUGCCUCGGAUUAUGUAGAUUCCGAGGACAUAGGAAUUUGGGGAGAAAACAAUUGGGUUAUUUUUGAGAACCAUUCCCCACUCGGGGGUGUUUCGGAACAAGUCGUCCAUAUUUGUUUUAUUUUCUCCGUUUUAUGCAUUUGUGCAUCCGUAGAUUUUACCACACACACACACACACACACACACACACACACACACACACACACACAUGUACUUUUACAUAAAGCGGGAAAAAAUCGUAUGCAACAGAUAAGUCGUCUUAAUAGCAUAUUUCUCUGUACUAGACUGUUAGCUGUUAUUUUUAGAAUAACGAGAUUUCUGAUGAGGGCUUCCUUUGCUCUCGUUGCCUAAGACGAAUUGAAGUGGACUCCGGUGACUUUUCCCAAAUUUCCCACCCCACCCCCUCGUAAAACACUUUUCCCCUAAAGGUAUAUUCGGAAUCUACAUGAUAGAAUACAUAUUCGUAGAAAAUUUCAUUAGAAAAUAUCCAUUUUUCUUAAAGUUAUGAUUAUCCAAAGUCGGGGUGAGGAGUGGGGCAGAAACCUGUAGUUAUGCCUACACACACACACACACACACACACACACACACACACACACACACAGACACACAGACACACACACAAACACACACGCACACAGACACACACGCACACGCACACACAUAUAUAUAUGAUAGGUGCAGGAGUGGCUGUGUGGUAAGUAGCUUGCUUACCAACCACAUAGUUCCGGGUUCAGUCCAACUGCGCGGAACCUUGGACAAGUGUCUUCUACUAUAGCUUCAGACCGACCAAAGCCUUGUGAGUAGAUUUGGUAGACGGAAACUGAAAGAAGCCCGUCAUAUAUAUAUAUAUAUAUAUAUAUAUAUAUAUAUAUAUAUAUAUGUGUGUGUGUGUGUGUAUAUGUAUUUAUGUUUGUGUGACUGUGUUUGUCUCGCCACCAUCGCUUGACAACCGAUGCUGGUGUAUUUACGUCCCUGUAACUUAGCGAUUCGGUAAAAGACACCAAUAGAAUAAGAACUAGGCUUACAAAGAAUAAGUCCUGGGGUCGACUUGCUCGACUAAAGGCGGUGCUCCAGUCAAAUGACCCGAACAAGUAAAAGAAUAAAAGAAUAUAUAUAGCAAGAGAGAGAGAGAGAGAGAGAGAGAGAGAGAGAGAGAGAGAGAGAGAGAGAAAGGAAGGGAGAAACAAAUACUGAAAAUAUUCAGAUGAACAUUCAUGUAUAAGCAUAUAAAUAUUUGUAUAUUUACAGAACAAAUUUGCAUGGAACACAAAAAAAAUGUAGAAAAGUAAGGGGCGAGGGCAUAGAAUUUCAGGUUCGACAGCUGUUUCUGGUGCGCGGAAUUAUGUAAUAAUUGUAAUAUUGAUAAAUGGAGUGUGCAAAAAGGCGAGGAUAUACCUCAAGUGUGUAUGCAUAUAAGCCGUCUUCAGAGUGGAGAGAUUAGCAUCUAGAUUGAUAUAUCCGUAACUUUUUGCACACUCCAUCUGGCAUACUGAUAUAGGUGAACAAGAGUUACCUCCCUUAGCUUAAAGUUUUUACUUAGGAAUCUAGUGGUUCUUUUAUCGUUUUCAUUCACCAGACUGCAACUGCGCCUUGAAGUAUUUUAAUCGAACAAAUCGAUAUCAGUUCUUUCUUUUUAAUGCCUAGUACAUUUUUUGUUUCUUUUACCAGUUCCAAAAAUGUUUAUAAAUUCUUAUGACCUCAGUAAUGUAUGUAUGUAUGUAUGUAUGUAUGUAUGUAUGUAUGUAUGUAUAUACAUACGUAUGUAAGUAUGUAUAUACAUACAUGCAUUCACAUAUAUAAGCGUAUGUAUAUAUAUAUACACAUACACACAUAUAAGCAUAUAUACGUACAUAUAUAUGCAAGUAUACACAAGCAAAUGCAUACAUCUUAUAUAUAUAAUAAAACGGAAGAUGUGUGUGUGUGUGUGUGUGUGCCUUUUUCUUGAUCCCCCUAAAAUCAAUAUAUUUUAUACAAUUUCGUUCACACUGGGAACAAACAUCAUUUAUGUUCCAGAGAUGGUCAUAGAUUCUUCAAAUUUUCCACAUAAUGAGUAAUGCCGCCGCAGGGGACGAAGACACCUUCUAGGUAAAUAACAAAUACCAACGAUCAUUGCUUUAAGGGACAUUACUCUUGAUGAUGUGGUUAUGCUACUUUCACUUCGUCUUCAACUACAGUUAUUACAAUGCCCCUCACUACAAACUGCUGAUAUUUGCAUAUUAGCAUUUCCUUGAUGUAGCCAUGCAAUUUAAAUAAACAUUCAUUUAUUUUUUAAAUAUCUUCAGAAAUUAAUUCAUAUUAUAUAUAGUCUCUGCUUUUACUCAUACAAAGUCGUAACAGUUAUACAGUUUUACAAUACCCAUUCAUUGCAGACUGCCGAUAUUUGCACGUUAGAACAGGGCUGUUCUUGCACCUACAAAUGCAGCUGUCACCACUCUUAACUAUAACUUACUAAGUAAGCUACCUUCUCAAGAACGUUGUUACAGAUCAGUAGACACCGUUACCGACCUCGAUCAAGUUACAUACUUUCCAAUAGAAUUUCUCAGGAUUACCUCCUCAGGACUCCCUCCUCAUGAACUUCACUUGCCCAGUCAUUCUCUUAUGCAGUUUAAACGCACCCACACUAUGUGGUAAAACAAAUGCUGGACCACGUCAUUGAAGCCCAAAUUAUCACGGGACACGGCAAAAAUGAUACCGUUUUUAUUACGAAAAUUCCGCUAAUCCCAACAGACUGUCCCUACCGUAUCCAGAGAAUUCAGUUCCCUCAAACUCAGCCUCGCCAUGACAAUUAACAAAGCAGAAGGUCAGUCGCUGAAAGUUGUCGGAUUGGACCUUCGAACGUCAUGCUUUUCACAUGGACAGUUCUAUGUCGGUUGUUCCAGGGUUGACCAUCCAGAAAACUUAUUUAUCUAUGCUCCUGAAGGAAAAACCAAAAAUGUCAUCUACAAAACAACCCCACAGUAGUUACUCCUCUACUGCAAUCUUCACAUCUACGUCAAACUGUAGCCGUUAGCAAUCAGAUUUCUUACAAGAACAUUGAUAUUUUGCUUCAUUUCCAUGAUUGCUGUGUACAUUACCUUCAAUGAACCUUCUUACUUCACGCAUGCUGUUCACUCGUAAGCGUGCUCUGACAUUUGUUUUUGUACAUGCCAUUAUUGUUUGUGUGUUUGUUAUAAAUGUUUACUUUUGUUUAUCAAUGAAAAAGUUUCAAUUCGGUUGUGUCAGACAUUACGAGUAAAAUAACUGCAUGUCACAAAAUACUUCAGGUAAGAUAUAGGGUUCCUAAUGCCUACUAAAUUGCGAUCUCAUUUCAUGGACUUUCAUUUAUUACUAACUGCCAAAUUUGUGUUGAAAAAACUUUAUCAUUACGCUUUUUUUUAAAUACCAUAUAAUAAACUGCUAACGAAAUCGGUAAUUAUAAAUUUUACGUUUAUCAACUUGAAGCGACUUCUAACUGCAGGCUAAUUAAACUUAAACCGUCCAAAGGAGUGCGCCUUUAUAAUAAAUUACACUGUCCAAAGGACGGGUGCGUUUGCUAGUAUAUAUAUGAAAACCUCUAUAGUAGACCGACCAAAUUUUCCUAUUUCUCUGUUGGUUGAAGCAAUGAGGAACAACCUUAAUUAAAGGUGUCUACAUCACAUGACCAAUACUAGAGAAAAAAACAGUCAGUUAGUUUAUGUACACAUUGAAACUAGUAGCUCUAGAGCACUGGAGCUACUAAUUUGCAUACUCAAUAUCAACGGCCUGUCAGCGAAGAACUCUGGUUCACAAAGUGUCAAAGUAUGGUGUAGUAGUGUCCCAAAUAUAAGUAACAUGAGGACGAGGUAAAAAAAAUUAAAAAUCCUGAGUUUACGCCCAGGAAAUAGGGGACACGGAGACUUAGAAGGAAAAGUUUUUUUAUGUUUCGAGAAUACGCUCUUCUUCCCAAAGAAUUAACAAGGCGAGAAAAAAAAUAUGAAGAAAAGACCACCAGUGGGUCUAUCGAACGAUCACAUCAUAGCGAGCUGAGAGAAUCAUUUACACGUCUGACAAAAUGCAUAGUGACAUUUCUUCCUGCUUCUUGCGUUGUUAGUUCAAAUCCUGCCGAGAUCAGCUGCAUAAUUCAUUCUUUCGAGAUGCAUAAAAUAAGUACUGAGGUCGAUGUAAUUGACUAGCCCUCUCCCACAAAAUUUCAUGACUUGUGGCAAUGGCAGAAAGAAAAUACAUGUAUAAGAGUUUAAUCUGAAGGUAGGGACAUAUAUAUCCAUGGUCUUGGCAGCAACCCCGAGCGCUUUCUGAUCGCCGUGGUUAACGCUAAUGCUUUUAUUGAACAGUUUACUAACAAUUUACUUAUAUGCCAUUCAUUCAUUUCACUUCUAAUGUCAUUUCUAGGACAUUCAUUCAUUUAUGAAGUAUUGGCUUACUUUGACUAGACACCAAGGAUCGAUCUGCUCCGCGUGUUUGUGUAUUUGUUGGAGUAAAUGUAAUUGAUGCUUUCCCUGAAAGCUUUAGCGACGAAAAUAAAUAGAAAAUGUUACACUGUCAACAGCAGCCAUCUUGGGAAAUAAACAGAAAAGUGACUGUUUUGAGAAUUGUAUCGUAGUGUCAUGAAUGUCAUGAAAGUGUCUCGGUUGUUUGAAGGUGAUUAAACAUAUAGCGACAGUGACACAAACACGUGUGUGUGUGUGUUUAUACAUACAUACAUACAUACAUACAUACAUACAUACAUACAUACAUACAUACAUACAUACAUACAUACAUACAUACAUACAUACAUACAUACAUAUGUGUGUGUGUGUGCGUGUGGUGGCACAAUGGCCCAGUGUUUAGGGCAGCGGACUUGCGAUCGUAGAAUUGCGGUUUCGAUUCCCAGACCGGGCAUUAUGAGUGUUUAUUGAGCGAAAACACCUAAAGCUCCACGAGGCUCAAGCAAUGAGUGGUGGUGAACAUAGUCAGUAGUGGUGUCCCACAAGGUGCUGUGUUGGGCCCACUCCUCUUCAUUAUCUACAUCCAUGACACAGUAGACGUCAUCAAACACCCUACAUUGAAAAUCUUUGCAGAUGAUUCCAACCUCCAGAAAGCCAUAAACAGUAUGGAAGACCGAACAUGCCUUCAGUCGGAUCUGUUUGCUGUUGUCUAAUGGACGGAAAAAUACAAUAUGCUUCUAAAUGUAGAUAAAUUUAAUUUGAUCCACUUUAGAAAAGAGGAUACUCUGAAACUAUCAUACGCUCUUCCCUCGGGUGACUCCCUAGUGUCAUCCAACAACACCAGAGACUUUGGAACAAUCGUUGAUGACAAUUUAAGCUGGAGUUCCCACGUAAACAGCAAGGUUAACUUGGUCCGCAAGAUGUGCUUCUGGAUUCUGAGAACUUUCCGGUCUAGAUGCUCACACCAUCAUCCUUCUCUACUCUACUUUUGCCCGACCCCACCUUGAAUACUGUUGCCCGCUGUGGUCUCCUCAUACGAAGCGACUCAUUAUGGAAGUGGAAGCACUCCAGAGGUCAAUAACAAGAGAGUUAGACGACAUGUCAGGCAUUGACUAUUGGGAUCCACUAAAAAUACUCAGUCUCUACUCUCUCCAACGCCGCCGGAAGCGCUACAUCAUUUGUGUGAUGUGGAAAAUAUUCCAUCAAUAUUUCACAAAUGAUGCUGGCAUCAAUUUUAAAAUCCAUCCAAGACUUGGCCCCCGUACUAUCCACCCACUACAAAAAUCGAACUCAGGACACAUAACGUUACGUCACAACUACUUUACCUCAACUGGUCUAGCUUUCUUUAAUACCAUACCAAAAUAUGUCAAAACGGAAACGGAUCCCAUAAAACACAGAAGUUCACCGGACAAAUUUCUUCAAAAAAUCCCGGACCAGCCUCCUACACCCGGACAUGUCUCCAACAAUAAUAACUCUUUGCUAGAGUGGGCCUUGGUGCCCUAUAUAUGACUGAAAGACUUCACCAGGUAGUGCUAUCAAGUUAGACAUAGCCUGGGCCUAUACUGGCCGAAAUCUAUCAAAGUUAUCAAAGCUAUCAUAUUGUCAGAAGAGUGUGUAUGCACUCAUACAUACACACUCUUGCACACACACAUAUAUAUAUAUAUAUAUAUAUAUAUAUAUAUAUAUUGUUAUAUUUCGGAAUAGUCAUUUUGCCAGUUUAGCCAAUAAUGGUAUUAAAAAAUCUUGCACAACAAAUAUUUAAACGUAUAUAUAUAUAUAUAUAUAUAUAUAUAUAUAUAUAUAUAUAUAUAUAUAUAUAUAUAUAUAUAUAUACCAGUGGCGACUCCGGCACUCGGGCUGUUCGGGCUUAGCUCGAGUAUCAAUUUAGUAAAGUGAACGUGUAUUUGCAAGUUGAUUUCAUUUCUAACAACACUGACUUCAAGUGUGUAAUUUCAGUCAAUAACACGAGCUCCUUUUACUGUGCUUAGUCGCAGUUCAUUUCGUUCAGUGUUUGGCGGUGUCUUAGAAGUGCCCUGUGUCAAAAAAUAUCAUUCGUAGCAGACGUUCUCUCGACAUCGUUCACACGCACCUAACUCGUACUCAGAAGUUACGGCCCAAGUUGUUAUCUAUAAUCGUAAAAAUUAAAAGUAAUUCAAAUUCAGUGUUUUCUUGAAACAAUAACUUUCUAUAGAGAUUAGUAUUUAAAUUCCAAUCUAUGAAAAGUUUCCGUUCUACAAUAUUCUUAAAGGAACGAAAUAUUAUCCAGCAACUCGGGCUAAUACGAACGAGCCUAGUGGGUGUAUAAAAACUAACUGGCAUCUCUUGUCAAGAGUACAGGCAACAGUCAGAUCACUGAUGUUUGCUGUGCACUCCGCUGUCGUUAUUUGAUUGCUGUUAUUCGAUGCGUCUGUGUGUAAAGAUCAGUUGUGUUUUGCAGGGUUGCUUUAUUUUAACCCUUAACUUAGAAAUGAAGAAAGACAUAGUGCAAGAUAUAAAAAAUAAGCCAUUUGGGGCUAGAAAUAAAGCGGAAAGCGUGAAAUUCUUCGAGUAGACGUGUCUUAUGCGAAAUCUGUCAUAGCCCGAGUGACGCUGAUAACCUUGAGUCGCCUCUGGUAUAACUAUAUGUGCGUGUAUGUGUGUGGUGUAUGCAUAUUUGUGUUUGUUUUUACCUCUCCCCACCACCACCACCACCACCACCACCACCACAUUGGUUUCUUUAUGUUCUCGUAACUCAGAGACCGAUAGUAGAAGUAGCAAACUACUUAAAAAAAAACAAAGCACUGAAAUCGAUCUGUUCGAUUUGUUCAAAGCGGUAUCCCAAUAUGGCCGUAGUCCAGUGGCUGAAAGCAAGCUAAAGAUAAAGAUAUUUACACACACACACACACACACACACAAACACACACACACACACACACAUACAUACAUACAUACACACAUACAUACAUGCAUACAUGCAUGCAUACAUACAUACACACAUACAUACUUACAUUCAUACAUAUGUAUUUAUAAACAUAUAUGAAUAUACAUACACACACACAGACACAAACGCAUAACGCAUGACAUACUUGUGCACAAGUCAGUGCAUGUGCAUUUUGUAUAUGACCGUACACACACACACACACACACACACAUACAUACAUACAUACAUACAUACAUACAUACAUACGUGUGUUUGUGUGUCAACAUAGUCGUAAGUAUCCUGUUACAAUAACAGAUCGAAUUUUGAAGUUAAAACUGAUCACAGUACGUAAUCGAUACUUACCAAACAGUUCGUUGGUGACCAUGGCAACGUCAUGAUACGCUAUGCUAAGCUAAGCUAAACCGAGACAUCAAAAGAUUAUUCGUCUUCAAGAUCGAAUUCAUACAUAAAAUAACAAUGGAAACGCGUCCUCCCUUCCCCCACCUCGCUGUGUCUGAGAUUUCGCAGACCAUGGCUACUUGUUCGCAUAUGAGAUCAAUAGAACAGAUCUUUACUGGCUACCUCUGCACUGUAACCCACUGAAAUGUGUUAUGACGAUGUUGCUUUUUUUCUGUUUUUUUUUCUUGACAGAGGUGAACUAGUCAAGUGAAGGCGUAUGGCCUAGUGGUUAGGAUGUUGCACUUACGAUCUGAAGAUCGUGGAUUCAAUUCUCGACCGGGUGCUAUGUUGUGUUCUUGAACAAAAAAAUAAAACCCCUCAGAGGCUAACUCUACGACUGACUAGCAUCCCGUUGUGGAGGUGGGGUGGCAUGUUGUGAUAUUGGUUACUUAUCCACUAUAGAAACUGGGCGACCAACCCUAUGAGUCCUAUGACACUAGAUAAUAAUGCUAAAGAGAUGAUGAUAAUGAAGUAUUCUACCUAGUGAUCUGUAGCGAAUUUACACUUGGAGAGGCCUUAAUUUAGGAGUUUAGUUCAUGGAGUUUAGAACAGCGAGAAUCCAAACAUUAACGUGGCUAUUAUUUUCCAAUACAUUUUGGCAGAUUCGAACGUGAAUGUGUGAUGGCUGUCGUUUUCCGUCAUCGGAGACUACUUUUCUCUUUAGACAAUGUGGCUCAAAACACGCGUGAAUUCACCGGUGUAGCAGUGCAGGAUUAUUGCAUGACCCAUAUGUAACCGUGGUGGCUGUCAAGCAUCGACAUACAAGUUACCGAAUCACCUUCUCCGUUGCGUUUGUUGUUGGGUGUAGUACAUUGGAACGGUGUACCUCAGUUGCUAUUUCUAAGGUACUUAAGAUAUCACUAUAUGGUACUAUAGAAGUAGAUGCUUGUGGACGCCGCGGCAUAAUGAAAGAGUUCUGCUAAUAAAAUUAAGGGAUUACACCUGUUCGCUUUAUGUUCGUUUUAUGAAAUCGUGGGAUGUCACUAUCGUCACUUUCGAUAAUUUUACUUCCAUUUUUUAAAAACCCUACAAAUUGCAUAUUAACCACAAUAGGUACUGACCAUACUAACAACUAAAAUAAAUCUCUAGCAUUAUGGCACUGGCGUAAAAUAUAGAAUAUUAUAAAUUAUAUAUAUUAUAUAUCUAUAAAUAUAUAUCUUAUAUACAUAUGUAUGUGCUCUCUGUGCAUGCUUGCGUGCGCGUGUGAGUGUGUAUAUAAUAAACAUAUAUGCGUAUGUAUAUAUGUAUGCAUGUAUGUAUACAUGCGUGCAUACAAAUGCUGCAAUAAGAUGAGGGUUGGAACGAAUAACUACACCGCAUAGUGACAGCGGUUUUUGUUCGAGAUAAAGAAGAAGAAAAAAAAACUCAUGUGGACGCGCUGUGUUUAAAAACACAACAUAUAUCGGUAGGAGAUUAAAAAUAGUUCCGGGCGGCAGCGAGAACGGAAGAUGCAUUACGGUCUUUUGGGGCCUUUUCAGUUACUUGUACUGGCUGAGGUUGACGAGGUUUGUCGCUUCCGAUAUGUAGUAACUAUAAAUAAUGCAUUUACUGGUUGUAUUGCGAAAAGCCACCGGGAACGUUUCCCUUCUCUACAGCUUGUUUUUAAAUACUGCCCAUCCAUUAGAAAUUUUAUUCCAGACGAAACCGUAGUAACUUGUCGUUCAGCAAUGUAAUUUACAUUAAGUAUGAUGCACAGAUAGCUAUUUAAAAAAAAAUUAAUACUGCUUCAGUUGCAUACACCGGAUUAUUUUUAUUCUGAGUAGACAUGAAUGACAGAUAUUUUAGAGGAAUCGAACUGAGAAAUUUGAUGUUUAAAACCUUUGACGUUUAAAACCUUUGUUAGAGGGCUUUCGUAUCGUUUAUGAAAGGAAAUCGGAACUAUGUUUGCAGUCUCGGCUUGCUAGUAAGUCUAUGACUCGUUUCUUACAAACUUGAUAUCGAUUUUUUUUUUUGUAGGGAGGUUGUUGUUAUUUUAUUUUGCCUUUAGAAUAUGGAACCUUUUGCAAGGAGGCGGUUUGGGAAGAAGAAAAGCAAAAUGCCUUCUUUCCGUGACAUUUUGCCGUUUGUUUUGUGUCUCCGAACGACCCUGGGGGUGGAAUAUUUAUUAUUCAAAGUUCAACAGACUAUCGACCGUAAAUUAAACUGUUAUCUCUCACGUGAUAGCUCAAGAAUACAGAGCGUUUUUUUCCCUUAACUUUCAAUAUAAACCAGUACAAGUAUGGCUGCGUUCAACCUGCUCCACUUCUAUUCCCUUAGUUAAGGAAUAAAGCAUAAGACCUAGCAAAUUUGAUGUGUGAAGCGGGUGUUAAUCAUACCACCGACUUCAGUGCUUGGCUGGUACUUUAUUUUAUUCCUUUUUAUCAACUUCUAAAAGGGUGAUAGGCAAAGCUGACUCUGGUGGGAUUUCGAUUCAGAACAUAAAGAACUGGAGCAAAUACUUUUCGAGAUAAAAUAAAGUACCAGUGAGAUACUGGGGUCAAUGUAAUCGGUUAACUACUCCCUUACAUCUGAUGGCCUUGUUCCAAAUUAGAAAGAAUUAUUAUUAAUCCUCAAUGACGAGGAUCCUUGUGACCAAUAAAAUAAAUUUUUAUUAUCAUUUGACGAGCAGGCAGAAUCGCUAGCACGCUGGACGAAAUGCUUAGCGAUAUUUCGCCCGUUGCUCCGUUCUGAGUUAAAAUUCCACCGAGGUCGACUUUGCCGUUCAUCUUUUCAGGGUCAAUAAAUUAAGUACCAGUGAAACACUGGGGUCGAUAUGAUCGACAAGUCCCCCUUCCUACAAAUUUUAGGCCUUGUGCCUGUUGUAGAAAGGAAUUUUAUCAUUAUUACUAUUAUUGUUAUUAUUUUGGUUUGACACAGGUUCGGUCUUAUUCCUAGUGCAAUUUAUGCGGGUAGCGGAUUACUACCUGUUACCUCCUGUAACCUUAGGUAUCCACAAGUUUUCAGCUGUCUUUCAAGUGCUUAGAACCCUUCUGAUAGUCCUCGCUGUCCUUAAGAGACAAACUUUCUGUAGGAGUUCUACUGGCAUUAUAUUUCUAUCUCUUUCAGCCAUUUGUCUAUGUCUUUGUUUACUGUUCCCAACGCACUGAUUAUUAUAGGCACGACCUUUGCUGUUCGCAUGUUCCAAAUUUUUCUUAUUUCAAAUUUUAAGGGAUUGUAUUUUUUGUUUUUGUUUGUUUUUGCUGGUUUAUUUAUUUAUUUAUUUAUCACCACCUCCACCACCACCACCACCACCACCACCACCAUCAUCAUCAUCAUCAUUAUCAUUGUUAUUAUUAUUAUUAUUAUUAUUAUUAUUAUUAUUAUAUGUUUGACUUUUGCUUUAUAUUUGUACAAGUUGGCUCCAAGUCUCACCCAGAGACCUCAGGAGACAACAGGCUGGAAGUUCACGUUGUUGUUAUGCCUAGUGUGCCAUAUAUUUGGUUGUUUUUUGUGUUGUACUGGUGGAUGUACUGGUGGAUGUUUUAAACCUUGAGAUUACAUAGAAAGUAUUUUACGUAGGAUAUGAGCAGUUCCCAUGAGCACUAUCUUUUGAAUUUCUGCCAUUUUUGGGUUUUCUGGUAUCUGAGUUAGGUAGCAAUCAGCCCCUUUUGCUAUCAUUCCCAGGGCACCUAUGACAAAAGGUAUUGUUUUAGUCUUCAGGUUCCACAUUUUGCUGAUUUCUAUUUCAAGAUCUUUAUAUUUGCUCAGUUUUUGGUAGGUCUUGACAGAUACGUUUAUAUGGAUUGGGACAGUCAUAUCAAUGAGGAGGCAUGUUCUUUGUUUGAAGUCUUUCAAUAUGAUGUCUGGCCUAUUUGCAUCUAUCUUUUUGUCAGUUUGAAUGGGGAAGUUCCAGAGGAGUGAGAUGUGGUCAUUUUCAAGCACUGGAGGUGGUUUGUUUUCCCACCAGUUUUUUUCGUGGGGCAAAUCCAGGUUUUUGCAGAUUACCCAGUGGAUAUAUUGUGCAGCUCUAUCAUGCCUGUUGAGAUACUCUGUAGGCGCUAGAAGACUGCACUUGGAGACCACAUGAUCAAUGGUUUCAUUUUGUGCUGGCAUACACGACACGUUGGACUGCUGCUGAUCUUUAAUAUGUUGGCCUGGUAGUUUCUUGUUGAUAGGCAUUGAUCUUGAGCUGCUAUGAUAAACCCCUCUGUUUCAGAUUUUAAGCCAGAGGCCAUUAGCCAUUGAUGGGUCAGGGCUUUGUCAACAUCUGCAUUAUUCGCUCUCUUUGGGUAUUUGCCAUAGAGAGGUUUUUCUUGCCAUUUAUCAUUCAGAAUAUCUAAGGCCGCAGAUUUAGCACGGGUUUUCAUGCGCUUAGCUUUUUCUGUGCCUGUUUCCUGUAAUUCCGAAAUUUGUUGUAUUUAUUAUUAUUAUUAUUAUUAUUAUUAUUAUUAUUAUUAUUAUUAUUAUAAUUAUUAUUAUUAUUAUUAUUAUUAUUACUAUUGAAGGCGGUUAGCUGGCGAUGAAAAUUAUCAGCUCACCGAGCAAAAUGCUUAACAGUUUUUCGUCCGGCUCUGUACAUUCUGAGUUCAAAUUCCGCUGAGGUUGAUCUUGCCUUUCAUCCUUUCGGGCUCCAUUAAAUAAGCACCAGCUGAGCGCUCCUGAUGAUGUAGUCGACUGGUCUCUCCCCUCAAAAAAGGCUUAUUGUUAUAUUUUCUUUUUUUCUUUCUUUUUUAACUUUUGUCCCGACUUAUGUAUAUAUAUCAUGCAAAAUGGGACAAGAACGCAAAACAUCCAGAUAGACGAUACAAAGAAAACAAGGACGGGUCGUUCGGAGUUUUCUUUCUUCAGUCGAGUUCCUGAUUAUCUUUGCAAUUUCGGCUGGUUAUACUCGAGAUUGCUUCAAUCUGGCCAGCCCCAAGGAAAAACUAAGCUAAGAUUCCUUAGAAGAAAGCAGCGAAUGUAUACGAUAACAAGAGCUGAAAAAAAUGGAGAAUGUUACACAAAUACAAAUAACAGGACAUUACAACAGGCGUUUUUCGACUAAGGACGAAUUAAGUUAAGCUGGCAUGUGUGGAAGUAAAGCCUUACGGCAGGGGUACAAGAUUUCACAGGCACAGGGAGGAAUAUAGAUGUUGCACGGACAGUGGCCGAACCAAGAAAGAAAAGUUAGGCUUGGCCGAACACCGGUCACGUGGGGAGAAAAGAGAGAGAGAGAGAGGUAGAGGCAGAGGGACAAAAGAAAUAAAGAGGGGCGAGAAAAAAUGACAGGGACACAGUGAAGUGAAAAGAGGAGGGAAAGUGGGCAUGAAGAGAAGGCAAGGAAAUGUGAGAGAGGGGGAACGAAAGAACGAAGUGUAGAAUGAACGAAGUAAGCGUGAAAGGGCUGAUAGAAAGAAAUGCAUAUAUGGGUACAGGACGUUACCAACAGUAAACAGCAUGAAGUACGAAAAUAAAUGAUUUCAAUAAGCAAACAAAGAGAGAAACAAAUGGGAAACAGGACAAGUAACACAAUGAACGACCCUUCAGCAGUUGUCGGCUGUCUAUCUACUCCUCAUUUCGAGCAUUGAAUGACAAUAUGAGUCUUCAAAGUCAGUUGCUCCCAUAAAUAACAAUACAAAAUUUUAGAUUUAUCGAAGGUCAAAGUUGGGAACAAAAACAGGACAGUGGAGACAUACAAUGAAUCCAAACGAAAGCAAACAUGGAGGAUCGUUAUACCAGAACGAGAGGAAAGUAUUGAACGCUGGAGAAAUAUUUUCUUUGAAAAGAGAAAAGAUAGAAGAGAGAGAUUACGUCCAGUCCUAAGGACAGUCCUGAAGGAAAAGAAAGAUGAUCACGUGAUAUGUAAUAGUUAGAUCCAAGGAUCCAGGUGUAUGAAGUUAGUAAGCUUCGAGCAGUCCGUAGAAAGUAUAAAAAACAACUUUCAGGAAUAAUAGUGGUUUAUUGAUAUAGAAGGUUGUAAAGUUUUCCCAUAUCGAAGUUCGAUAAGCCGAAAGAAGUUAUUCUAUAGUACACGGUUAGUAACUGGGGUUGCUGUAUAUGCGAAUACAAAUUCAAAUGUAGGGAAUGGAACAGGUAAAAUUCAGGCUACAUAUGUUUCCUAGCUACCAGAACCUCGAAAGUAGUAAUUACUCAACGGAGGGGUGGGAUAUUCCACUAGCUACUAAUCAGGCUGAAGAUACCUUAGUUAAAUGAAAGUUACAUUGUCGUCAAGGGAUCUCAAGUUAACUCGCAGAAGAUUUGAUCGAAAAUGAGUGGAAAGCACAGAGUGAGAGAACAAAUGAAGAAAAGCAUAUGUGUGAAGAAAUAAUAUAUAGGAAUGGGCGAAUAUCUCAAGUUGUUAAGAAAAAGAAAAAGAAUAAAAAAGGAGAGGUGGAAGAGUAGGGGAAAAAUAUAUACAUAUAUAUGCGCGCUGCUGCCUUAAUUUUUUCGUUCGUUCAUCCACACCACCACCACCACCACCACCACCACCACCACCACCACCACCACCACCACCACCACUACCACCACCACCACCACAACCACCACUACCACUAUCAUCUUUGUAACAUCUAAUUUUUUUCCCACCGACAUUUCUCCAUGAAAUUCAAUUAAUAUUUGUUUCUCACAAACUAAUAGAUUCAUUAAGCAUGAAUUCUCCAGUGAAAUCUCUUGCUUGCUCAUCAUUUUAAAAAUUUCCUUCAAUUCACAAACCCUGAGUGAAAGGGAAUUUCAUGUAAAAGAAUGGUUAAGAGCAAUAUUAAAAGUAUUCCACAGGAAAGUGAUAAUUCUUAUUUAUGAGGAUCUGUUUUGAAAAUUGUAAGGGAAUAUUAAUGAAAUUGAAAAGAAAGACUUAUGUAUAGCUUGAAUUUGAAUAGAACUGUUAUGUAAUGCAAAUGAAUUCAUGGACAUAUAUGUAUGAAAUCGUCUAUCGUAUAUUUAAUGUAUAUUUUACCUAUCAGAGUCUCAAGCCUGUAAACAGCCGCUUGUUUUGUUGCAGAUGUAAUAGAUGCUUCUUGUAUCUUUUGUUGCUGUGUGGUCGGGCUGGACCAUAUAUAGAAAGACACCUUAGAUUUAAAGACACUACACAAUGGAGAAUAAGUUCAAAAGAAAUAGAUGUUAAUGGAGCCUCACUGAAACAGACAUAAAAUGAAAGGUGAUAUUAAUUUAUAAGGGUCUGUUUUGAAAAUGAAAGAAAAUUUUAAUAAAACUGAAAAUGAAAUUAUUUCGAAUGGAAUUAACUGAAAAAGAAAUAGCUAAUCGAAAUAUCAAAAGAAUUUAGACAUGCAUGAGACAUUAGAACAAUAUAUUUAGAAAUACUGAUGAAUAGAGAAAUGGGAUUCAUUGAUAAUAGAUAUAGAGAUAGAGGUAGAGAUGAAGAAAGAAGACGGUGUGUUUGAAGAAUAACCAUAUUUGCUAUUUCGGAGUAAAAACGACAUUAGUCCGUUUUUGUACAAGCUAUGUAAAAAGAGAAGGAAGUUCAGAUAGACAAUAGGUCUAAUGUGUGUGUGUGUGUGUGUGUGUGUUGUGUGUGUGUGUGUGUGUGUGUGUGUGUGUGCGCGUGCAUAUAUAUAUGUAUGUAUAUGUGUAUAUAUGUAUAUAUAUAUGUAUGUAAUAUAUAUAUAUAUAUAUAUAUAUAUAUAUAUAUAUAUAUAUGUGUAAUAAAUGAAAAAUUGUAUGGUAGAUAAACAAACGACAUAACGUAUACUGAAUGUACAACUGGACGGGAGACAAACACAGGAGGUCCCUAAUUCUUCUUCAGUUAUCAACCAAUUGGUAAUACUCAGUUAAUGAUAAGACUGAGGGCUUCCCAUAUUGGCGGUGACUGCAAUUUUAUUUUUUUGCGGGCAAUUCAGGACCGAGAGCAAACAAAUCAAAGCAAAAAAAAAAGAAAAAAACACAGAAUAUGAUUCAGGAUGGUGGACAAGGACGAACAGACGAGCAAAAUACGGCCUUAGAGCCAAGACAAGAAUAGUGGGUGACGUUUAGAGGAUAUCCUUAAGGACUGAAUGGAGAGACAGAAUUUGCGACUGGUCAGUUACGAGAUCAGCGUGAGAAAGGGAGAAAGCUGGCUGCGGGUCACGUGACAGUAACAGGCAGAGGAGAAAAAAAGCAAGAGAGAGGGUGAGAGAGCGACAGAGAGAAAAAAGGGGAAGAGAUGAAGGGAGAAAAAAGAGAAAUCGGAAAGGCUAGGAAUACAAGAGAGAGAGAGAGAGAGAGAGAGAGAGAGAGAGAGAGAGAGAGAGAGAGAGAGAGAAGGGGAAAGUAGAAAGGCUCGAAUAGAAGUGAGAGGGCGAGAGAAAGAAAAGGGAAAAGAAUGAAGGCAAGAGAGGUACUCAGUAUCAUAGCAGUGAUUAAUAAUAUAUACUGUUUUGGUCGGGAUUAGUAAUAUAUUCUAUUUUGGUCGAGUGAGUUAUAAAUGUGUAUGUGUGUAAUUCAAAUUUUCAGAAAACAAAAGACGAAGACAGGUGAGGGAACAACAAGCAGGUGUAUUAGUUUGACGCCCGGGAAGAAAGGAAACGUCUUUGACGUUUCGAGCCUACGCUCUUCGACAGGAAGGGUUGAGAGAAAAAAAAUGGAGAGAGAACGCAAAAAAAAAAAAACAACGGAGAAAGUAAAAGUGUGUUGUGAUUAACGGUUCAACACUAUAUAUAUAUAUACACAUACACCUCGCACCUUGCCAGGUGUAUGUGUGUGAAGAUCCGUCCUUCACAUUAGAAGUAUUAAGGCCACUCCUCAUAGUGAAAAGGAUUGGCCUGCAAGACUCCUGUACCGGUACCACAUUAAAGGGAGCUAGCACACACUGUAAAGUGGUUGGUGUUAGGAAUGGCAGCCAGCUUUAGAAACCAAGCCAAAUCAGACUGGAACCAGGUGCAGCUCUCCAGCUUCAACGAACUGGUCAAACCGCCCAACCCAUGCCAGCAGGGAAAACGUCCAAUAACACAGUACUUGUACCACAUCCUCGCGUUGUUGUUUUUUCUUGCAUAUUUUUAACAUUCACUAGCAGAGAUACCCGGCGUUGCCCGGUUACAUUCAAUAGAAGAAUUAGACUUUUCUGUUAUAUAUAUAUAUAUAUGGAUACACACACACACACACACACAAAUAUAUGUAUAUUAAUAUAAAUACAUGAAAGUACAUGAAGUUUGUUAAAAAAAGGGGAUCAUGUAUAUACCUCCUGGUUGUUGAGAUUAUAACACCUCGUUGUAAACAAUGUUCCUUGUUUUCCCUUGUGGAGCAUAUACAAAAAGGUUUCUUUUGGUUCCUACUCUUGAGCAGCCAACAUACAGUUGCCUUUGCGAGAAGCAGGGCUCUUCAAAGAGAAGACCAGCUACAGAGAGGGUUUGACCCUGAGAUUUGUUAAUGGACAUGGCAAAGCUGACACGAAGGGGAAUUGCAGUCUUCUGAAUGUAAAUGGAAUUUCUGCUCCUGAUGGAGUAAGAGAAAAUCUUGGAAUAAAGACGUCAUCACCUUUUCCACAUCCAAAAAGAAUGAUCGCCUCGAUAACCUGUGAUAUCAUUUUCUUUAUCACCAGUCGUGUUCCAUUGCAAAGUCUUGGUGGUUCCAGAUAUGUGUGGAGGUUACUUAAGUGUAAUAUGUGUGGAGGUAGUCGAGGAGGCUCCAGUGAAUUGAGAAAUUCAGGAGGACAGUUCACAACUUCAUUUAUAUCUGGAAUUGUAUCAACAGACUUGUAAGUGUGUAUAGUGCCGGGAAGAGAAUGCAUUAGCUGUUGAUUAAUUUUGUUAACAGUGACGUUUUUUGGAGCUAAUAUUGCUCUUUCACACUGCCAAUUGUGAUUUUGGUAGUUUUGUGUGAAGUUGGGAAAGACUUUGUUUUUGAGGUCAUCUAUAGAAUUAACAACAGAGGAAAAUGACCACACUUCCAUUUGUCCUGCACCAUCGAGAGGCAUCUUGCCUUCACCAAGUGUCAAAAUGUCCUGUGCAAACUUUGUGGACAUUUUGUUGCCGUGUAGCUGAGCUCUCAUGUUAGUGGUGAGACUAAAGAUUGUAACAUGAUGCCACAGGGUAGAGGACUUUAGGCAUGCUUGAACUUCAUCAGCUCUAGUGCCUUUCGGAAGGACAGGAAGAGUUUGCCUGAAAUCACCUGACAACAGAAGCGUUACACCUCCCAUUGGAGCCUGACAGUCUCGGAUGUCUUUCAGGGCUCUAUCUAAUGCUUCCAAAGCUCCCUUGUGAGCCAUAGUGCACUCAUCCCAGACAAUUACAUAACACAUUUUAAGUACUUGUCCCUGAUCUGAGCUUUUGUUGAUGUUUCAUGAAGGCAUUUCGGAUGCUGCUAAAUUGAGAGGGAGUUUAAAAGUUGAGUGUGCUGUCCUGCCUCCGGGUAACAAAGUAGCUGCAAUGCCAGAGGAGGCUACAGCUACUGCAAUGUCCUGAUGCUACCUAACUUCUGCAAGGAGAAGCUUUGUAAUAAAUGUUUUUCCUGUCCCUCCAGGAGCAUCGAGGAAGAAGAUUCGUCCCUCGCGUUGGCGUACACUGUUAAGAAUAGUUCUGUAGGCCUGCAGCUGGUCCGGAAGUAAUUUAGGCUCAUUUUCAACAAUGUACUUUGAAAGCGCUUGAGUGUCGUAGGUUGUUUCACGAAUGACAGCAGUAGGAAGGCUAUUUCACCCUUACCUGAAUGCUUGUGGCAGGCCAUACGUCGACAAUACAUUUCCACCCAGUUUAGCAAUUCUGUCUUCAAUGUCAAUGAGUGUUUUGUUAUAGAUAUCAUUGCUGAUAUCCCUCCAUGUCAGGAUAGAGCAGUUGAGCUUGGCGCUGAAGGGGACAAUGUUUUUGAGAUUCCGGUUCGAAUGUAAGGCAAGUUUGAAAGUGUUCCCAACAGUUAUUAGUUGUAGUGGUAGAGUGUUUAUGCCGAAUAUGUACGUAUGCACGUAUAUAUAUGUAUGUAUGUAUGCCUGUAUAUAUGUACAAAAUCCACUGAGAAGGCUUUUGUUGAUCUGAAGCUACAGCAGAAGACACAUGCCAAGUCACCACACAGUGGGACUGAACCCAGGACCAUGUGUUUGGAACGUAGUUUGUUAUCACACAGCCACACCUGCCCCUAUGUAUGUGUGUGUGUGUGUGUGCGUAUGUGUAGAUAUAUUAUGCAUGUAUAUAUGUGUAUAUAUAUGUGUACAUAUUACAUGUACAUCUAUAUAUAUACAUCUACACAUAAAAUACAAAAUACAAAGUUAUAUCUUGAUAUCGCUAGUGAUAACAAUACUCAAAAAUAUAUAACAGACUGGAAUUGUAGGCCUGUCUCUUGCAAUUUCGAUCAAUUGGAUCUUGUCCUCCCUCAUGUAUAGAAGUGUACGGCUGCAGCGAAAUUCAUUUUUGGACUUUCUUCUAUCGAAGGCAUUUUAACAAAAAUGCUUCCGUAAAGAAGGUGAAAAUAUUGUCAAUUUCCCCAAACAGGGACACAAUUCAAUUUUUAAACAAUAACCAAAGCACCUUCUCCGAAAGGGGGAGGGUUACGGUUUACAAUUAUUUAACAAAUGCAACACAACAACGUUUCCCUGACGAGGAACCAACAAACGUGAUUGCAAUAGUCAAACAGUAAUAAUAACAACAAACCUUUUUAAUUUAUCCCCAUUUAUGUGAAACCACUUAUUCAAGUUCAAGUCAUUGAUGCAAUUUUAUACGAAUUGCUAAUACACACACACACACACACACACACACACACAUAAUAAGGGUGAAAAAUUGAAUAUUAAUUUGAUUAAUAUGAAUUGAAAACCAGUGGUGUAGCAUAUAAGACCAUAGCGGAUCUUCCUCUAGCAAAAAGGAUGACCACUAUUGAUGGCUCAUCCCUGUUAUAUAAUACUUUCACUUUAAUAGUUUCACACUUGCAAAGAGAAAGUAGGAGAAAGUGUGGUGGUAAUAGCAGAGUAAACCACUUGAAAUGAGAGAGGAAAUCGUAAAAUAUUGAGUUUUCUCGAAUUUUUGCUUAAUUGGGGGUCAAAUUAAAAAUUUUACAUGCCAUGACCCAAUCGAAUCUACUUGGAAAAAUCAUAGGUAAAUUCCAAUUGAAGAAAUUCUAUAUUGUAGAAUUGUAUUAAAAAGAAACAUGGAAACAGGCAGAGAAAAUCUGCCUUUUAUCAUAAGAGAUAUAUUUUUAUAUUUUUAUAUCUUUAUAUUCUGAAUGUAUUAAUAUGUUUUAGACAUCUCUGUCAUAUUAAAUCCCUAUAUGUAUACACCAAUCAUAGUCUGCCUGAGUUGAGCCUCUUCCCUGUGUCUCUUGUACUUGUCUAUCGUCUCGGGUUCGACUCGAGUACUUCCAUGCUUUCUAUGCUUUUCUAAAGAAAAUUUAUAAUUAUAUAUAUAUAUAUAUAUAUAUUAUAUAUAUAUUUUUCUUUUUUUUUCUUUUACUUGUUUCAGUCAUUUGACUGCGGCCAUGCUGGAGCACCGCCUUUAAUCGAGCAACUCGACCUCGGGACUUAUUCUUUGUAAGCCCAGUACUUAUUCUAUCGGUCUCUUUUGCCGAACCGCUAAGUAACGGGAACGUAAACACACCAGCAUCGGUUGUCAAGCAAUGCUAGGGGGACAAACACAGACACACAAACACACACACGCAUAUAUAUAUAUAUAUACAUAUAUACGACGGGCUUCUUCCAGUUUCCGUCACAAGGCUUUGGUCAGCCCGAGGCUAUAGUAGAAGACACUUGCCCAAGGUGCCACGCAGUGGGACUGAACCCGGAACCAUGCGGUUGGUAAACAAGCUACUUACCACACAGCCACUCCUGCGCCUAUAUAUAUAUAUAUAUAUAUAUAUAUAUGCAAUGAAGAAUGGAGAAGUGUACAUUUUCGUUUUUUUAUUACAGUAUUAGUCUCAUUAAAUUUAUUUUAGAUUCCAAUCCGACACGUGUUUCUGCUGCAUAACUGUAUUAAUGUUCACCGCCGGAAGUUCUUGUUGACAAACAACAGCAGUAAUUUUAUUCGGCUGAAUACACGUCAUUGAUUGGUUGAAAUUACCGAAAUAGGACAACUUUAACGUGAAAUAACUUCGUAAAUAUAAGUUUUUCUCAAAAAUGCUAAGAGUAAAAGAUGUUUUAUAUGACACAUUCUACCAGUGUCCGAAGUUUGAAAGUGUUUAGUUACAAAAUUUUUUUUUUUUAAUCUGUAGGUCAAAAGGUAAAGAUCCAACAUAUCUUAUUACUACGCAUUAAUUAACCCAAUUUACUUAAUAAGUGUUAAUAUUCGCAAUGAGAAAUUCAAGCUUAUCUAAAGAAGUAGAUGCUUUAUUAGCUGUUAGAAAAUGCACAGUUAAAUUUGAAAGAAAAUACUGGGUAAAGAAAUAUAAAUUUGAUCAGCUGGACAUUACCAUGAACUCCAGCGAUUCCAAUCAGAUAACGGAUUUAGUGGGAAUUUAUAUUUUAAAAUGUAUUAAUUGAGAAUUUCCGGAAAUGGUGGGUGGGUGGGGCUGGAUUAUAUAGGGACGACGCUUUCUUUACUUUAUAUAAAUUUAUAUUUUUUCUUAACUCGGCAUGGGUUCUUUUCGGUCUUUACCUUACAUCGAAAUAUAUUUUUGAACCCAAUCUUUUUUCGAUUCUAAGAAUGGAUGUAUUAACGUAUGUACUUCUACUAUCGAUCAUUCUUAACUUUUUUACCUGCUGAACUCAUAUACAAGUCUAUCAACGGACUUAUAAGACUUCAUUAACUUCUUCAAUCCUGUAAUUCUUUAAUCAUGGAAUUACAUAAAAUUAGUUACCUCUCAUUCUAACUGAUAACUACUAAUAUCCUUAAUUGAGAAUCUGUCUUUCUGCACCGCUUUAACUCGAUCUCUCUAAUGAUGAGAUACUUUGAUGACGUGAAUUCGUUACGCAUUAACAUGAUCCAUUCGCUCAGGUAUUCCAGAAACCCCUGUAAGAGACUCUGCUUUUUUCCUUUAUAUUUUAUUUGUACUUUAUCUUGAAGUAAAUAUCCUCGAAUAACUCCAAAUGUUUUGCUUGUCCGUCUUCCAUUUUGGGUCUAUGUAUAUAUCUAGUAACGUAAAUAUAGAAAGAUCCAGAAAAAAAGAUCUUUAAAUUCUUCAAAGGUUUGUCAAUUUCCUUUGAAAAAAAAAAAAGACAUAAUGAGGUGAAUUUUCUAGAUGUUAAUUUCAAUUUGGGUACAGGAGCACACCAACCGUAUCACAAACUCAACGAUAAUCUUAAAUACGUAAGUAAAAAUUCAAAUCACCCAAAAAAUAAUACUGGUUCUAUCGUUAAAAAUAUUUCUCUUCAUAUAUCUAGACUAUCUGCUAACCAAGAAAAUUUCAAGAAUAAUGGAAAGUAUUAUAAUAAUGCCCUGGCUGAAACUGGAAAUAAAGAUAAAAUAUUCUAUAUCUCUAAAAAUGAAAUCAAAGAACAUCUAGAUAUGGCUUAUGCUAUAAAUUAAAUAGGUAUUGGUAAUACAAAUUGUGAAAGUAAAACAAGGACCAAGGACAAGGAUAAUGAAGUUUCUAGUCACUAUGCCAAAAAUCACAAUAAGAACAGUCACAUAAUGGAUAACGAUAUACUUUUAAGUAAACCCCAUGAUAAACGUAACAAUAGAUCUUUUAAGAAGACAGUAGAAUAGACAUAAAAAUGAGGUUGUUAACAAAAACAAUAACCACUUCCCUAAAAGAAAAGCUAGAUCUAGGCAUAUAUUAUGGUAUAAUGCAAUCUUCGAAACACAGAUACCCACAAACAUACCUGCAAAAUCUUUCGCUGCAUUAGAUAGGCACUUUCCACCAGAAGAAAUGUUCUAUAUUUUUACCUCUACUUAUAGGUUAUCAAAUCACGUAAAAUGAAUUAGCCCUGAAAAGUACACAUUCAAAGCAUAUCAGUACUUUCAAAAUAAGGAUUUUCUAUAGGAUAUCAUGUAGAUAGAAAUGCAUAUAAGUUAACCGAGCCAAAUAAUCAUAGAUUUACUCAAGUUAGACUUUUAACAAUCUCACAAUAAACCACAUUCCUCUUUAUUUUUUAAAUUAACCCUUUCGAUUCUAUAUAUUUAUCUUAUAUAGUACCAUUCUAUCUUCAUAAUGAGUGGUCAGUGAGGUGAAUGCAUACUGACCUCAUUAAGGUUUUUUUUUCUACUGUUAAGUAUAUGAAAUAAUAUAUUCCCUUAAACUCUAAAGAGGUCACUCUAAGUUUAAAUGAUACCAGAACUAUGUCAUAUCGCAUUUCAAAGCAAUCUCUACUGUCACGUACCGUAAUAUUUUACGAUCCCUCAUUCGGAAUAUACUUUCAGAAGGACUAUCUAAGACUGGAAUCUUCAGUUCGCUUCACCUACUCGCAUGGGGAAAACCUUGAACAAAAUUGCAUAGGAAUGUCUUCGCUUUAUGAAUACGUAUCGCAAUUAAACAAACUAAAUGCACAUAAAUACUACAUCAAAGGACAUUAGGACACUUAUGCAGCAGAAACACGUGUCGGGUUGGAAUCUAAAAUAAAUUUAACGAGAAUAAUACUGUAAUAACAAAAAUUCUUCUUUUAUGAUGUCUUGAUUUCUGUAUGGUACAUGAAGUCCAUUCAAGCAAACUCAGGAUUUACCUAUUGAGUGAAGUACAGUGCAAUUGUUUAUCAAAUACAGUUUUGUAUGUUCCUUAUUCGAUAUCGUUAGCCAGAUCUGAAUUAUAUCAGUGAUAAUAAAGUACCUUAUUUCAAGUCCUCGCCUAAAUUCUAAAUCCCUAUUCUUUUACGUUAUAUAUAUAUAUAUAUAUAUAUAUAUAUAUAUAUAUAUAUAUAUAUAUAUAUAUAUUUAUAUAUAUAUAUAUAUAUAUGUAUGUAUGUAUGUAUGUAUGUAUGUAUGUAUGUAUGUAUAUAUAAGUUCAGCAAACAAUUUAGAUUCAUUCUUAUAACUAAGGAAAUUUUCUUACAACAGUCAGUUGUGAACAAAGUUUUGGUCAGGUUGGUAUCCUAACUACACUACCUCAUGUUCCUGAGAUUCAUAUCUACAUCUUUAUCUGUAUAUUUACCUUCCCUAAGAUGUUAUUAAUUGAUCUGAGAACUUUAUAUUAUUGGAAAACCUAUAUAAAAUUAGCUGAAGAUUACUCGGCAUAUUAAAUCUGCUGUAAUAUUUACUGCUUUUAAUAAAAUGUUGUAGUAUGAAACAAUUUUACUAAAUUACCGGAUUCAUUCUUGUUGCUUAUUUUUGAUUUUAUAUAUAUAUAUAUAUAUAUAUAUAUAUACAUAUAUACAUAUAUAUAAGAGGGAUGACCAUUAAGUGGCCAUCCAUUAUGCUAGAAGUCGAUCCCUACGAUCUUACCACUAAGAAAGGAAUGUUCUCAAGAAAAUUUAGCAAACGCCAGGACGUAAGCGAGCAAGACAAAUGAAAGAUACAAAAUAUACAGAUUAUUCACAAACAAGUUUCGUUGUUACCACUUACGUAGUCACUUACAUAGAUGUCUGCAACUCUACUUUUGCAAGGUCUUUCCUGUUGCUGUCACAUAUUGUGAAAUUUUAAAAUUAUGUCAAAAUUUUCAAAUUUGAUAUAUUGAAAUAAUUAUUUAUUUGUUCCUGAAAAAUUGCAGAAAAAUGUUACUGAGGUUUAAAGUUUAAUAAAUUUUACCUAAUCAGAAAACAGUAUUUAGAAGUUGGUAUUUUUUGCAUGAUAGCUGUCUAUCACAAAAUGAAAGCAAAAUCAUUACGAGAAGGAAUUUUUAUUAAACAAACGAAAGCAAAGCAUUAUGACGACCAAAGUUGUAAGAACUUCUGAAGUUUUAAUAAGUUUUAAUGAAUAAACUCAUAAGAAGCGGUCGAACAGACAUGUAAAUAAUUUAAAAAGGUAAAAAAAAAAAUCCUCAACGAAGUUUUUUUGCUAUAAAUUGCACAAAUCUGUCCUGAUCAAGAGGCCUAUCUGUCGGGGAAAGCAUGGUCUGACAUGGAAUAAACAAAAAAUUAUGUAAGACAUUCUAUUGUAAGAUUUGCCCGGGCAACGACGGGCUAUUCAGCUAGUAUAUUACAUACACAUACAUACAUGUAUGUGUCUUUGUGCUUUUGUGUCCCAUCACCGUCUAACAACCGGUAUUGGUGCGUUCACGUCCCCGUAAUCUAGCAGUUCAGUAAAAGAGGCCGAUUGAACAAGUACCAGGUUUUUAAAAAAAAUACUGGUGACGAGUCGUUCGACUAAAAUUGUUCAGCAUGAUACACACAUACAUAUUUACAUACAUACAUACAUACAUACAUACAUACAUACAUACAUACAUACAUACAUACAUACAUACAUAUAUACAUAUAUAUAUAUAAUAUAUAUAAUACAUGCACGCACACACACACACACACUUUUAUUUAUUUUAUUCUUUUAUUUGUUUCAGUUAUUAUAUGUAUGUGUGUGUGUGUGUGUGUCGCCAUGAUAGAUCGCUAGCCACUACGCACAUUUUUUCUCUCCUUGUUUCUUUCUGUAUUCCUUUCUGUUGAAGAGCGUAGGCUCGAAACGUUAAAAACUUUUUCAAUUCCCGAGCGUUAUACUAAUACAUCUGUUUGUUUUCUGCACCACCAGUCUUCGUCUUCUGUUUGUUUUCUGCACCACCUGUCUUCGUCUUCUGUUUGUUUUUGUGAAUUCUUCCUAUAUAUAUAUAUAUAUAUAUAUAUAUAGGCGCCGGUGUGGGUGUGUGAAAAGAAGUUUGCUUUCCAACCACAUAGUUCCAGGUUCAGUCCUACUGCGUGACACCUUGGGAAAGUGUCUUCUAUAUCCUCGGGCCGACCAAAACCUUGUGAGUGGAUUUGGUAGACGGAAUCUGAAAGAAGCCCGUCGUUUAUAUAUAUGUAUAUAUUUGUGUGUCUGCAUCUGUGUUUAUCCUCCCACUAUCGCUUGACAACCGAUGUUGGUAUGUUUAGGUCCCCGUAUACUAGCAGUUCGAUAAAAGAGACCGAUAGAAUAAGUACCAAGCCUACAAAGAAUAAUUUCGGGGGUCGAUUUCUUCGACUAAAUAGGUGGUGCUCCAGCAUGUACACAGUAAAAAAUGACUGAAACAAGUAAAAGAAUAAUGGAAUAAAAUAAUACAUAUAUGCCAAUCUUUUGGUAAAAGUCUAUGACGUCAUGAAUGAGUGUGUGACAUGGUAUUUUAUCUGUUCGACGGAGCUGAACAGUCAAACAUACCCGCAUUCAUCCACAACUGACGUCAUAUACAAAUACCGAAGCAUUGCCAUAUAUAAAUGUAUAUACCUAUAUGUAUAUAUUUACAUAUAUCUAUCUAUUUAUCCAUCCAUCUAUCUAUCUAUCUAUCUAUCUAUCUAUCUAUCUAUCUAUCUAUCUAUCUAUCUAUCUAUCUAUCUAUCUAUCUAUCUAUCUAUCUAUCUAUCUAUCUAUCUAUCUAUUUCUCUGUGUCUCUGUGUCUGUCUCUUUCUCCUCCCUCUCUGUAUAAAACAAAAUCAACGAGGCCCAUAAAACGUACAUAUCAACGAUAAAACCUCUAAAUAAUCGUUCGACUUGUUAGAAAGAACAGCCAAAUCUUUGUAAGAAAAAGAAACAAAACAAAAACACGAACCAAAAAACCAGAACGACACAUUAAAUAAUCUCGAUAACCUCCACCCUUUCUAUAAAAGAAAAAAAAAUUAAGACGGAGUAACAUCUAGAAUUCUACUCGAUCAGUAGUGUCCUGUGGCUAAACAACAACAACCAACGACAACAACAACAAGGCGUAAACAACGCCAUAUACUUCAGUAUACCCAGAAUGCUUUGCAAAAGUUGUUUGACGUCACAGCACGAAGGUUGUGUCAGAUUACGAUCGGCAGUUUCCUCCGAAUACUUCCUUGUUUGUUUUUCUUUAUUUAUCUAUUACCUCCACCACCACCACCACCACCACCAACACCACCACCACCACCAUCACCACCACAAUCACCAUCAAAACCUCUACCACAAACACAAACGUUAAGAAUAAAACAAAAAUAACAAAACCUCCCAUCAUCACCACCACAACGCCAGCAGUUGCACUGUUAUGAACAACCACAGCAACCGACGCCACCCCACCCCACCACCUCUACUACUACUACUACUACUACUACUACUACUACUACGUCGUUAUUGUCACCGUCAUCAUGAUCAUGUCAUCGCCAUCCGCUUUACCUUUGUUGUUGUUCUUCCUUCGUUCUUUUUCUCCUGCUUCUUCCUACAUUUAUCUACCAUUUUUACACGCGCGCGUACACACACACACACACACAUUUGUUUUGACUUCACCUCACCUGUCAGUUUUAUUAUUCAGAUGUGUUAUAGAUUACCCUCAUCAUCAUCGUCAUCUUAUCGUCCGCUACUCUAAUUUAAUUUUCUCUCUUAUAUUCGUAUAUACAUUUUGUCUUGCUUGCUAUAUUUGAAUUUUAAAUUUAACUUUUUAGCCUUUUAAAAAAAUAAUGUUUGAAAAGUAACAAAAGUAAUAUGAAAUAAUUGUUGAACAAAAAUUAAAUCUAAUAAUAUACAAUCUCAGUAAUGAUAGCGAACUUUUAAAUUUGCGAAUUCUAGUGUUUCUGCAUACAUGCAUAUGUUUGUGUGUGUAUAUGUGUAUAUAUAUAUGUGUGUGUAGAUGGAGUGGGUGUGUAUACAUGUUUGCGUUCAUGUGUACGUAUUUGUAUAUAUAUAUAUGUGUGUGUGUGUGUGUGUGAGAAAGGAAAGAGAGAGGUUUUUGAAAAAAACUAUUUUUCAACGUCCCAUACCUCAUUGAAAAGGGAAAAGGGUAGGCUUCCCUCAUUUUUGGAAAUAUUCUUUAGUUUUAUACAACAAAAUUAAGAUAUUGACAAAAUUUUUGCCCCAAUAAAUUUCCAUCCUCCCAGCAUAUUCUUGCCUAUCCACUUCCGUACCUCUUUUCCCUUUCCCAUUAAGUAUAGAACUUUAUGGGACUUCGAGGGAUAGCUAUUCCCAACACUCUAUCCAUAAAUAGUUCCGAAUUGGGAACCCCGUGUCUCAUGGCAAAAGGACAGGAUAGCUUUUCCUUAAAUUUGAUCUCUUUAAAUAUAAAUUUGCCUUUCCGUGCUUCUUAAAACGGAUAUUACAAUUCCAUCGCUCGUUUUUAUAUUGGGUUGUUAAAUAAAUCUGUUCGUUUUUUCCCCCUGUUUAUUUUUAUUCAUACCCAUCGAGUAAGUGCACAAGACGGCGGUAUCAUGAGAGCAUCCCAUCUGCUGGGCCAGUUUCCUUGUGGAUUGGCACGGGUUUUCAUUGUACUGAACAGGUCAGCUGGAACGCAAAGUCUGUGAGAUCGAAUUUCCCCUCCUUGAAGAGGGAAAACCAUUUCUGUGCAGUUCUCUCAGUAAUACCACACUCUCCGCACACAACACAAAUGUCUCGAACAACUUUGGCAGCUUUGGAACAGUUAUUGAAAACGAAGAGAUGCAGGUGUCGAAAAUGCUCGUUAUUUUAUGCUUGUCUCGCUCUUGUCUCAUCGUCAUAUGCCUGAACAGGGGUAAAAUUUUAUUCAAAUUUCAAAAACGAUAAACAAAGGUUGUACAAGAAAAAUAGAGACACAAAUAAUACGAUCAAAAUGUUUUCCGUGUAAACUAACAGUGGAAAGAAACGAACAAAUUAAGCUGUCAACCCGUUAUAUGAAAUGAAAUUAAAUGAAAACGUCCUGUACCGAUAAAAUCGAGUUGGAGAGAUACUAAAAAGGUUUUGUAUUCAUUUAGAAGGCCUGUCAGCCUGACUGAAUCUUUCUCUCUCAUGUCACAGUAUCAACUUAAAAUUCAAGAGUAGAAAGAUGACUGCUAUGAAUGAGUUAAUAGGGAAUCGAACUUGCUAUGUUGGGAUCGCUGGGAGAAUUACUACAAAUUCUGCGCCGCUUGUAUCAGUUCCAAUAUCACUUCCAUGCGGUAAUUAACGGGUAAUUUUGGAAGUAUACUUUUUGCCGCCAUGAAUAAUACCAGGAAAUAUGUCAUACAUAAAAUAGUUAUGAUUUAACUUUUAUCACAUUUUUUGGUGCUUAUACAAAAUAAUGAAAUCUUUUAUCGUUUACUUGUUUCAGUCAUUUGACUGUGACCAUGCUGGGGCGCCGCCUUGAAUUUUAGUCGAAUUAAUCGACCCUAGUCUUUUUAAGCCUGGUACUUAUUCUAUCAGUUUCUAUUCCCGAAUCGCUAAGUUACAGGGACGUAAAUACACCAAUACCGGUUGCUAAGUGGUGGUGGUGGGAUAAACACAGACACGAAAACGCGCGCGCGCGUACACACACACACACACACACACACACACACAUAUACAACAGGCUUCUUUCAGUUUCCGUUUACCAAAUCCACUCACAAGGCUUUGGUCGAUCCGAGGCUAUAGUAGAAGACACUUGCUCAAGGUGCCAUGCACCUUCCCAGCCGCGUUGUUGAGAAGCAAACGUUUUACCACACAGCCACGCCUGCGCCUUGGAUACCGAUUUUCAAAAGAAAAGUAUUUAUUACCUUGAAAUAAAUUUCUCAUUCAUAAAACUCCUCCCAUGAUUACUCUGUCAUUUACUCCUGUCUUAUACUCUGUCCCUAUGAUUCUCUCUCACAGCGCGAGUGUGUAGCGUUCUUUUACUCAUUGCCUGACGCCAAGCACUCAUCUUGCAUCUCUUACAACAACAGUCUGUGCAUCUCUCCUUUACUCUCUCUCUCUUUCCUCUCUCUUUAUACAGUUUAAAACAGUGGUUCUCAAUUGGGGUCUAUAUAAGAUUUUUGGAGUCCACACAAGCAAAAUAAUAAGUUGGGAAUCCACAGUAAUAUAUUAAGGAUCCAUGAAAAAAAUUUGCUUUUGAUGUAUUUAUUGGAAGAAACAGUUAAAAUUCUUUCUCAAACAUUUUACAUAGUUCAACUUAACAGAAGUUAAUGUGCUAAUAACAAAAUAGGAAUUUUGAAAGAAGUGCCUAUAAACUAGUUUAUAAGCAUCAGAUAGUGAAAGGGGUCCACCAGAAUUUUAAAAAAAGUUAUCAAAGGGGUCAAAAAUAAUAGGGGUAAAAAAAAUGGUUGAAAACCACUGGUUUGAAGCAUGACUGGAAAAAGUGAGCAACCAACAUAUAAACUAACAUUUGUCAGCUAUUAUUAAAUAGCUAUGUUAAGCAACAGGCAUAAGGCCAGCAAUUUAGUCAAUUCUAUCGACCCAGGACUUGGCUGGUACUUUAUUUUAUUGACACCAAAAAGAUGAAAAGUAAAGUUGAUCUCGGCGCGAAUUGAACUCAAAACGUAAAGUGCCGGAACAAACGGCGUAAGAUACAGAAAUGUAAAAUUUGUCACAUAGGUACAAGACGUGAGAAACAGUACUUGAUAUAUAUAUAUUGUGUGUGUGUGUGUGUCUAUCUAUCUAUCUAUCUAUCUAUCUCUCUCUAUAUAUAAAUGAUUAAAUAUUCAAAUGAAUAUACAUAUAGAUAUUAUUAUUAUGAUUUUAAUGCGCAGACACGUACUCAGGUUGCAUCACCUGUAGCAAUUUCUAGAAGGUGAACGUGUGUGGGCUACGUUUGUGAGACACGCCUUUCAGCAGCUCGUCUCCUUGGCGGAGCUACAGUCCUGGGUAAAGGAUAGGUUGAGACUGGGCGCCUGGCACUUAAAAUGUCGUCAGGCGCUCACUGCCCUCUACAAGUCGGGCAGUAGGAUCGGUGGAUGUUCCACUUUAGAUAUUUACAGAAGAUUAGUUGCAGGAAAGUGCGACGACGUCCUCGGGGAGACCCUAGGCGUCGACGAAGACGAACUGGCAAGUCUAUUCCGGAGGACUUCCCGGUCGGAGACUGUUACGGAUAAUUUCCAGAUGUCUUUGGCCUGGCAGUGCUACUGGGGGCCGCUACUGGUUUGAGAUAAACUCUACAGGCACGGAUGUGCUGUCAGACGGUCUUGUCGGAGGUGCUUGCAGAGCGACGAAACCGUUCUGCAUGUACUCGUUCAGUGUCCGGGCACUGCUGACUUGUGGAGCUAUGUCGAACAGCUGCUGUCGCGUGGAGGACAGAUCCGUCUAUCGUCCGAGUCCAUAAUGAUGAUUGCUCCGCCGCCCUCCUUUAAUCGGACUAGCAAGGCAGUCUUCCUUUGUCUGGUGGCUGUGGCGAAAGAGAUUAUCAGGUGGACAAGGCUGAACGGAAUGAAGACAGAAACUUACCUCUUUGGCAAAGCCCUCAUCGACUUUUUCAAGUUCCACUUGAAAAGGAAAAUGCGGGUGGAGAGGGAGGUGCUGUUCUCGAGUGAAUUUAUGAAAAGGUGGGCGAAAGUUGCGAAAAUAGCAAGAGUGGAUGGCACCACUCUCAGUGUAGAGCUGUGAGUCAGAAGAAAGGGAUUUGGAGAGGGCACUCGUCCUUGGUAUUCAGGGUAAUCUUGGACGGUGGGGUUCCUUGAUUAUCGCUUGAGGUCCUCCUGAAUCAAGGGGAUCCCAUCAUUAUCACAUUUUUGCCCUCUUUUUUCUCGUGUCAUUUACUCUGUAUACUUCCCAUCUUCUAAUGUAUACCGUGUAUACUUUUUAUUUUAUCAUUCCUUUAUAUGUAAACCCACACACUUUAUGUCUGUCUUUGUAUUGACCCCCUCACCUUCACCCUGGUGGCAAAUAAAGCAAAUCAUCAUCAUCAUCAUCACCAGUCUUCUUCUUCUUCUUCUUCUUCUUCUUCUUCUUCUUCUUAUUAUUAUUAUUAUUAUUAUUAUUAUUAUUAUUAUUAUUAUUAUUAUUAUUAUUAUUAUUUUUAUUAUUUGCAGUAAAUCUAAAUUUGUUGGUCCGUUGAAUAUUUUCAGUGAGAUUGGUGGACAAAUUGAGGAUUUUGACUCUCCUUUCUAGCAAGCUGGUGCUUCAUGUACCCUCUAUUAUAAUUAUGUGUGUGUGUGUGGGGGUAUGUAUGUAGGUAGGUAUGUAUGAGUGUAUAUGUAAUUGUAUGAUCCAGGGAUCUAGCCGUAGGACGUUAGUAAGCAUCGAGCAGUCCGUGGUAGGUAAAAACACUUUCAGAAACAAUAAUAGUUUACUGGCGUAGAUUUUUUUCCACAUCAAAAUUCGAUAAGCUGAAAAAUGCUUUUUUUUCUUUGGUAGAGUAACUAGGGUUUGCUAGUGAUGUACCCCUCGUUGAAUAAUUAUUACUUCCAAGGUUCUGCUAGCUAGGAAACAUAUGUAGCCCGGAUUUUACCGGCUCCAUUCCCUCAAUUUUGAUAUAUAUAUAUAUAUAUAUAUAUAUAUAUACACACGUGUGUAUGCAUAUGUAUGUAUGUGUGUGUGUAUGUAUAUAUGUAUGUAUGUAUGUAUAUGAAUGUGCUACUUUCGAGUGCUACUGGUAACAUGUAACCCAUUACAACCUGUUGCAUGGUCGGGUCGUUGGCGACUAAACCGGCAACCCCACCAAGCUUGCUUGGUGAGGAGGGUGUUUAUUGGUCACUCUGCGGGAUGAAAAACGAAAUCCGUCAAAGGGCGGAGGAACUCUUGAAAGUCAACGGCCAUCCAAUAAAUGUCUUAAGGCUGUAUCAUGCGCAGGGACAUAGAAAUAAUCGGACUGAAUACCCGAUCGCGCGGUUAAACCAUUGGGAGUGAAGGACUCCUAGCCUUUGUUAGGGCAUCCUUCUAGGAGAUGGUAACUCAGGUUACUGGGAUAACUCCGACAUAAAACCUGCGGCUCAGUGGUUACCCAUGAUGUUGACUUGUUCUUCUUUUCGGAUUAUGGCUGCUGUUGCUUAGUGAGUGGGAUUGACUCAGUGCACAGCCUUUCCUCACUUUAAAAAAAAAUCUUCUUGCACAGGCAUUGCACGAUAACAACUUUGAUUAAGCUUCGUGCAAUGGCCAUACUCGAUAACGAGGGGCAGCUACCAUAUGAAUGUGCAAAAACGAGUAAAACACAAGAACCAAGAAAGAAGAAGAAUAUUGUUUAGGGGCCGGAUGGGAAGGUGGUUCUAUGGAGAGGAGUUAGGAAGAGAAGAAGGGGCACAGGUAGAUACGUAUAUUUGUAUAUAUUUGUGUGUGUGUAUGUAACUUCACUCUUUUACUCAGCUUAUAUGAUCCUUUCCUUCGAAUCAACCUGUUGUAAAAAAGAUGGAAAACGUUCGUCAUUUAUUCUAGCAAUGUGGUUUUACUAGGGCAGCUGGACCCUGCGAAGGCGAAUAGAUGCUGGGCGACAUCGAGCAAUUGAGGAUUUCAGUAACAAUCUCUGAAACUCUGUUCUGCCAACGAAUGUGCAAGAUUUUACAUUGGUAGUUCCGGCGAAUCUACCUAAAUUUUGUAGUGUCCCUACUGUAAACAGUUCGCGUCUCAUUGGCACGUAACAAAGUUGGUAGAACAAUGGCUUCGUGGACCUUCAACAUGCUUUAGAGUUUUAGACCCUUUCUAUCUCAGACUCCAUUAGGAAGUGUACCGAACUUGAUGCUAGCGUUAGCGAUUUUGCUGUUGACUCCAUCGUAAUGUGAGCAAUUUUAUACGUAAAUGGUAUAAGACUUAUUUAUGUAACAUCUCUAUAUAUGUAAGAAUAUUCGGCUUGCAUCAUUACUUAUCAUUAUCAAUACAGAAAUAGAAUCAACUGUCAGUCAACUGAAAGGCUUAUCUAUUGGGGGCACAGAAAUAGUUCCUUAGGAGCAUGUAGAUCAGAUUCUGAUCAAACAAUAUAUAGACGACCAAUAUCCUUUCUCAGGUGAAAUAAAUACGUGGACAUAAUUUGGGAGGUUUAUGAUAUCCCUGGACAUAAAAGGAGCCUUUGACAGAGCCCGACACAAUAGUCUGAAACCAAAGUGGAUAGGUGGAAAACUGCUACGUUAUUUUAAGGUGCCAAAGCUAUCUUCAUAAGGGGAAGCCUAAAAUAUCAUUCUUUCAAGUUAAUACUUUUAUGUCAUCCAUUAAAGCAUCAACCAUAAGGGUUAGUACUUUGUAUGCUUCUAUUCUUUUUCAUAGAUGAUUUUGUGAACGUCUGCCAAGAUGAGGUUUGUAUUUAUGAGAAUAAGCAAAUGACUCCACGUUGCUUACGCUAGAAAAAUCAACAGGUAAAAGUGGCCUUACGUAAG
RNAcentral lists this long non-coding RNA (36589 nucleotides) under Octopus vulgaris (common octopus). Lineage: Eukaryota; Metazoa; Mollusca; Cephalopoda; Octopoda; Octopodidae. The record is from RNAcentral.